This 210-nucleotide unclassified non-coding RNA is filed under the name plant metagenome. RNAcentral's name for it is "partial contains small subunit ribosomal RNA, internal transcribed spacer 1, and 5.8S ribosomal RNA". The record is from RNAcentral.
UCUCCGUUGGUGAACCAGCGGAGGGAUCAUUACUGGAAUCGCAAGAUCCCACAACCCCUGUGAACCUACCGAAACGUUGCCUCGGCGGGCGCCCGGCCCCGCGCCCGGCGCUCAGCCCGCCGGCGGCCCCCUACUCUUCUCCCUGCAGCGUGGCAUCUCAGAGCCCCAGAAAACAAGUAAAAACUUUCAACAACGGAUCUCUUGGCUCUA